This 376-nucleotide ribosomal RNA is filed under the name uncultured bacterium. RNAcentral's name for it is "bacterial SSU rRNA". It matches the Rfam family "Bacterial small subunit ribosomal RNA", at positions 524 to 898 of the family's 1533-position model. The record is from RNAcentral.
UACGUAGGUGGCAAGCGUUAUCCGGAUUUAUUGGGCGUAAAGCGAGCGCAGGCGGUUACUUAAGUCUGAUGUGAAAGCCUUCGGCUUAACCGAAGAAGUGCAUCGGAAACUGGGUGACUUGAGUGCAGAAGAGGACAGUGGAACUCCAUGUGUAGCGGUGGAAUGCGUAGAUAUAUGGAAGAACACCAGUGGCGAAGGCGGCUGUCUGGUCUGCAACUGACGCUGAGGCUCGAAAGCAUGGGUAGCGAACAGGAUUAGAUACCCUGGUAGUCCAUGCCGUAAACGAUGAGUGCUAGGUGUUGGAGGGUUUCCGCCCUUCAGUGCCGGAGCUAACGCAUUAAGCACUCCGCCUGGGGAGUACGACCGCAAGGUUGAA